RNAcentral lists this ribosomal RNA (1466 nucleotides) under uncultured Bordetella sp. RNAcentral describes it as "partial 16S-23S ribosomal RNA intergenic spacer". It matches the Rfam family "Bacterial small subunit ribosomal RNA". Lineage: Bacteria; Pseudomonadati; Pseudomonadota; Betaproteobacteria; Burkholderiales; Alcaligenaceae. The record is from RNAcentral.
UUUGAUCCUGGCUCCAGAUUGAACGCUGGCGGGAUACUUUACACAUGCAAGUCGAACGGCAGCACCGGACUUCGGUCUGGUGGCGAGUGGCGAACGGGUGAGUAAUGUAUCGGAACGUGCCUAGUAGCGGGGGAUAACUACGCGAAAGCGUAGCUAAUACCGCAUACGCCCUUCGGGGGGAAAGCGGGGACCUUCGGGCCUCACUUACUAAUAGAGCGGCCGAUAUCGGAUUAGCUAGUUGGUGGGGUAACGGCUCACCAAGGCGACGAUCCGUAGCUGGUUUGAGAGGACGACCAGCCACACUGGGACUGAGACACGGCCCAAGGCCUACGGGAGGCAGCGGUGGAGAAUUUUGGACAAUGGGGGAAACCCUGAUCCAGCCAUCCCGCGUGUGCGAUGAAGGCCUUCGGGUUGUAAAGCACUUUUUGUGAGGAAAGAAACAGCACGGGAUAAUACCCCGUGCAACUGACGGUACCUGCAGAAUAAGCACCGGCUAACUACGUGCCAGCAGCCGCGGUAAUACGUAGGUGCAAGCGUUAAUCAGAAUUACAGGGCGUAAAGCGUGCGCAGGCGGUUCGGAAAGAAAGAUGUGAAAUCCCGGAAGCAACUUUGGAACUGCAUUUUUUGCUACCGACUAGAGUGUGUCAGAGGAGGUGGAAUUCCGCGUGUAGCAGUGAAAUGCGUAGAUAUGCGGAGGAACACCGAUGGCGAAGGCAGCCUCCUGGGACUGCUGACGCUCAUGCACGAAAGCGUGGGGAGCAAACAGGAUUAGAAUACCUGGUAGUCCACGCCCUAAACGAUGUCAACUAGCUGUUGGGGCCUUCGGGCCUUGGUAGCGCAACUAACGCGUGAAGUUGACCGCCUGAAAUUACGGUCGCAAGAUUAAAACUCAAAGGAAUUGACGGGGACCCGCACAAGCGGUGGAUGAUGUGGUUAAUUCGAUGCAGCACGAAAACCUUUUACCUACCCUUGACAUGUCUGGAAUCCCCGAAGGUCCCAGGUGCUCGCAAGAGAACCGGAACACAGGUGCUGGCUGUCGUCAGCUCGUAUACGUGAGAUGUUGGGUUAAAUUAUAACGAGCGCAACCCUUGCUCAUUAGGUUACUGAAAGGAGCACUCUAAUGAGACUGCCGGUGACAAACCGGAGGAAGGUGGGGAUGACGUCAGAGUCAUGGCCCUUAUGGGUAGGGCUUCACGUCAUACAAUGGUCGGGACGGGGGGUCGUAACCCGCGAGGGGAGCCAAUCCCAGAAGCCACGUCGUAGUCCGGAUCUUGAUCUGCAGCUCGACUGCGUGAAGUCGAAUCGCUAGUAAUCGCGGAUCAGCAUGUCGCGGUGAAUACGUUCCCGGGUCUUGUACACACCGCCCGUCACCAUGGGAGUGGGUUUUACCAGAAGUAGUUAGCCUAACCGUAAGGGCGUUACCACGAAGUAGGAUUCAUGACUGGGGUGAAGUCGUAACAAGGUAG